Molecule: ribosomal RNA, 467 nt
Filed under: uncultured bacterium
Lineage: Bacteria
Description: bacterial SSU rRNA
Rfam family: Bacterial small subunit ribosomal RNA
Source: RNAcentral
UGAGGAAUAUUGGACAAUGGGCGCAAGCCUGAUCCAGCCAUGCCGCGUGCAGGAUGACGGUCCUAUGGAUUGUAAACUGCUUUUGUACAGGAAGAAACAGUUCUACGUGUAGAACCUUGACGGUACUGUAAGAAUAAGGAUCGGCUAACUCCGUGCCAGCAGCCGCGGUAAUACGGAGGAUCCAAGCGUUAUCCGGAAUCAUUGGGUUUAAAGGGUCCGUAGGCGGUUAGAUAAGUCAGUGGUGAAAGCCCAUCGCUCAACGGUGGAACGGCCAUUGAUACUGUCUGACUUGAAUUAUUAGGAAGUAACUAGAAUAUGUAGUGUAGCGGUGAAAUGCUUAGAGAUUACAUGGAAUACCAAUUGCGAAGGCAGGUUACUACUAAUGGGUUGACGCUGAUGGACGAAAGCGUGGGUAGCGAACAGGAUUAGAUACCCAUGUAGUCCCUGAGCGGGCUGGCAAGGCGCAU